RNAcentral lists this ribosomal RNA (910 nucleotides) under Stagonosporopsis valerianellae. RNAcentral's name for it is "LSU rRNA". It matches the Rfam family "Eukaryotic large subunit ribosomal RNA", at positions 38 to 966 of the family's 3401-position model. Lineage: Eukaryota; Fungi; Ascomycota; Dothideomycetes; Pleosporales; Didymellaceae. The record is from RNAcentral.
GCAUAUCAAUAAGCGGAGGAAAAGAAACCAACAGGGAUUGCCCUAGUAACGGCGAGUGAAGCGGCAACAGCUCAAAUUUGAAAUCUGGCGUCUUCGGCGUCCGAGUUGUAAUUUGCAGAGGGCGCUUUGGCAUUGGCAGCGGUCCAAGUUCCUUGGAACAGGACGUCACAGAGGGUGAGAAUCCCGUACGUGGUCGCUAGCCUUUACCGUGUAAAGCCCCUUCGACGAGUCGAGUUGUUUGGGAAUGCAGCUCUAAAUGGGAGGUAAAUUUCUUCUAAAGCUAAAUACUGGCCAGAGACCGAUAGCGCACAAGUAGAGUGAUCGAAAGAUGAAAAGCACUUUGGAAAGAGAGUUAAAAAGCACGUGAAAUUGUUGAAAGGGAAGCGCUUGCAGCCAGACUUGCCUGUAGUUGCUCAUCCGGGUUUUUACCCGGUGCACUCUUCUAUAGGCAGGCCAGCAUCAGUUUGGGCGGUUGGAUAAAGGUCUCUGUCAUGUACCUCCUUUCGGGGAGAACUUAUAGGGGAGACGACAUGCAACCAGCCUGGACUGAGGUCCGCGCAUCUGCUAGGAUGCUGGCGUAAUGGCUGUAAGCGGCCCGUCUUGAAACACGGACCAAGGAGUCUAACAUCUAUGCGAGUGUUUGGGUGUCAAGCCCGAACGCGUAAUGAAAGUGAACGGAGGUGGGAACCUUUCGGGGUGCACCAUCGACCGAUCCUGAUGUCUUCGGAUGGAUUUGAGUAAGAGCAUAGCUGUUGGGACCCGAAAGAUGGUGAACUAUGCUUGAAUAGGGUGAAGCCAGAGGAAACUCUGGUGGAGGCUCGCAGCGGUUCUGACGUGCAAAUCGAUCGUCAAAUUUGGGCAUAGGGGCGAAAGACUAAUCGAACUAUCUAGUAGCUGGUUUCCUGCCGAG